AUGGUCACUCCACUUAGAGCCAGUGGAAGCUUUCCUGUUUCUGAGCUCACAAGCCAGAUGCCUGUAUUCGUGUGUGCUUACCACACACUGACUCAUAGCACUUUAACUGCAGGGGCUGUAGCUGGGAAGCAGGCCACAUCAACAACCCAGCACCAUCAGGACAUUCAACACAGGCAGAAGAGAGUGGGGCUCUUGGUGGCCACAGCAGCAUCUGGCUGAGUGUGAGAUCUACCAAAAGUGAGUGCAUCCCCACAGGAAGACCUGGGACAUGCUGCUGUAAGCCUUCUGGAAAUAGCCAGUCACCUGGGAGAAGGCCAGGUGAUUGGCUGUAGCCUAAGCUCCCACACGCAAACCUGCCCUCCUCUGAGUUGUGCAGCUGUAGUUGUGCCUGAACAGAGAACACCAGAACCUGCACCCUAAGACUUGUCUGAAUCGCCAGACCAGGACCACACAGAAAGAGGGGUAACCAUCAGAGGCUGCUAGACAAGAUCCUUCCAUUCUGGUGAAAGCUUCCUAAUGAUCACUACACAGAAGUCAAUCCUGACUUGAAUCCUACCACCAAACACUUAAACUCUUCCACAGCUCCAGAUUGCUUAGGGGGAAAUGCAGGGUACCUUCCCCCUGCAACACAGAUGCUAAGCACUCCUCUAUCUAGUACCUCUUUCCUAGCUUACUGAGCUAACCUCCAAGCCUCAGGUCAUCCCAUCUCCUCCUACCUGGCCUUUCCCUACCACAUAAGCCCUGAUUUACCUCCACAACUCAGCUCAGGCAGCCCCUCCUGGAAAUCACUCUUGACUCUCCCCCUGGCCUCCAGACCUAGACAGAUCCCUUCCAUUCCUUCCUGUUGCUAUGUUCUAUCCUCUGAAUAAGGGUGUAUUUGACAAGAAGGUCCAAAUCAAGACUGAAAUAAAGUUUAAUUACCUGUGAUUAUGAAUUAUUGAUCUAGUAGUCUAGUGUUUUACAAAAUGGGCUUUUUUGGUCCCUAGGAGAUGUAAGUUCUAGAACACUGUAAUGCAUUUCACUCUUAAUUAUAAUCUAAAAAUAUAUUUUAUCAGUUUUAAAGACUUCUGCCACA
Molecule: long non-coding RNA, 1075 nt
Filed under: Canis lupus familiaris (dog)
Lineage: Eukaryota; Metazoa; Chordata; Mammalia; Carnivora; Canidae
Description: lncRNA (ENSCAFG00030023567.1)
Source: RNAcentral